GUCNNGGCUAACUANNCGUGCCAGCAGCCCGCGGUAAGACGUAGGACGCAAGCGUUAUCCGGAUUUACUGGGCGUAAAGCGUCUGUAGGCGGAUGGGUAAGUUGGGCGUGAAAGCUCCGUGCUCAACGCGGAGAGGUCGUUCAAUACUGCCGAUCUGGAGGUCAUCAGAGGGGCGUGGAAUUUCCGGUGUAGCGGUAAAAUGCGCAGAUAUCGGAAGGAACACCAGUGGCGAAAGCGGCGCCCUGGGGUGGACCUGACGCUGAGAGACGAAAGCUAGGGGAGCGAACAGGAUUAGAGACCCUGGUAGUCCUAGCUAUAAACGAUGGAUGCUAGGUGUGGGGUCGAGAAGGCUCCGUGCCGGAGCCAACGCGAUAAGCAUCCCGCCUGGGGACUACGGCCGCAAGGCUAAAACUCAAACGAAUUGACGGGGCCCCGCACAAGCAGCGGAGCGUGUGGUUCAAUUCGAUGCUACACGAAGAACCUUACCUGGGUUUGACAUGGAGGUGGUAGGGAAGCGAAAGCGGACCGACCCUUCGGGGAGCCUUCACAGGUGCUGCAUGGCUGUCGUCAGCUCGUGCCGUGAGGUGUCGGGUUAAGUCCCGUAACGAGCGCAACCCUUGCCCUUAGUUACAAGUGUCUAAGGGGACUGCCGGCGGUAAGCCGGAGGAAGGUGGGGAUGACGUCAAGUCAGCAUGGCCCUUAUAUCCAGGGCUACACACACGCUACAAUGGUCGGUACAAAGGGCAGCGAAGCCGCGGGGUGAAGCGAAUCCCAUCAAAGCCGAUCGUAGUUCGGAUUGCAGGCUGCAACUCGCCUGCAUGAAGCUGGAGUUGCUAGUAACCGCGCGUCAGCCAUAGUGCGGUGAAUACGUUCCCNGGGGCUUGUACACACCGCCCGUCACGUCAUGGGAGUCGGUAACGCCUGAAGCCGGUGGCUCAACUCGCAAGAGGGAGUGCCGUCUAAGGCGGGGCUGGCAACUGGGACGAAGU
RNAcentral lists this ribosomal RNA (989 nucleotides) under uncultured organism. Its description in RNAcentral is "bacterial SSU rRNA". It matches the Rfam family "Bacterial small subunit ribosomal RNA", at positions 490 to 1486 of the family's 1533-position model. The record is from RNAcentral.